RNAcentral lists this ribosomal RNA (283 nucleotides) under uncultured prokaryote. Its description in RNAcentral is "partial 16S ribosomal RNA". It matches the Rfam family "Bacterial small subunit ribosomal RNA", at positions 338 to 620 of the family's 1533-position model. The record is from RNAcentral.
CCUACGUGAGGCUGCAGUGAGGAAUAUUGCGCAAUGGGCGAAAGCCUGACGCAGCAACGCCGCGUGUAGGAUGAAAUCCUUCGGGAUGUAAACUACUGUUGAAGGGGAAGAAUAUCCUGAUUUAUCGGGAGAUGACGGUACCCUUAGAGAAAGCCACGGCUAACUCUGUGCCAGCAGCCGCGGUAAUACAGGGGUGGCAAGCGUUGUCCGGAAUUACUGGGGGUAAAGGGUGCGUAGGCGGGGGAAUAAGUCAGUGGUGAAAUCCUACAGCUUAACUGUAGAC